RNAcentral lists this ribosomal RNA (520 nucleotides) under uncultured Glomus. RNAcentral describes it as "SSU rRNA". It matches the Rfam family "Eukaryotic small subunit ribosomal RNA", at positions 569 to 1091 of the family's 1831-position model. The record is from RNAcentral. Lineage: Eukaryota; Fungi; Glomeromycota; Glomeromycetes; Glomerales; Glomeraceae.
AGCAGCCGCGGUAAUUCCAGCUCCAAUAGCGUAUAUUAAAGUUGUUGCAGUUAAAAAGCUCGUAGUUGAAUUUCGGGGUCAGCAGGUUGGUCGUGCCAACGGUAUGUACUGGCUUUGCUGAUUCCUCCUUCUUGUAGAACUGUAAUGCCAUUAAUUUGGUGUUGCAGGGAAACAGGACUGUUACUUUGAAAAAAUUAGAGUGUUUAAAGCAGGCUUACGCUUGAAUACAUUAGCAUGGAAUAAUGAAAUAGGACGUUGAUCCUAUUUUGUUGGUUUCUAGGAUUGACGUAAUGAUUAAUAGGGAUAGUUGGGGGCAUUAGUAUUCAAUUGUCAGAGGUGAAAUUCUUGGAUUUAUUGAAGACUAACUACUGCGAAAGCAUUUGCCAAGGAUGUUUUCAUUAAUCAAGAACGAAAGUUAGGGGAUCGAAGACGAUCAGAUACCGUCGUAGUCUUAACCAUAAACUAUGCCGACUAGGGAUCGGAUGAUGUUAAUUUUUAAUGUACUCAUUCGGCGCCUUAC